GCAAUUAAUCAUCUAAAACUACUGUUUACACAUAAUCAACAAACUAUUAUCUAUGACAGAUUUCUGAGGCUCUACUCAAAAUUGUCUCAAAAAAUUCUAGGAAGCAUUACUGGUACCAUUUUUUCCACAUCACAAUGACAUUAAGUCUAGUUUCAUUUCUAAUUGGUCUUGUGCCAUUUGAAAAAGUGAACAAGGAGGACUAAAUAAAACAUUGUAGAUACGUCAAUCUGUCAGGUCAAUUGACCAUGAAAAUAUAAUACUCAAUUUUACUUCCAAAGCAGCAGAAUUAGGCCUUCCACAAAAUAAAUAGUUUUAGAGGACGGAUCAAAGUUUCUAUAGGUUCAGAUUUCGCCUCAUUCGGAGUUGUGGAACUCUAGAUAAUGCUCAAACAAGUGGACUGUCACACAGGGGACAGAAUUCCGAAAUUCCAAUCAAAUUCACACUUCGAAGGACCAACCUAAAGUUCACAUAAUUUGGCAUAGCACCAAUCUAACAUCUCAUGCCACAAUACAAAAAUUAAGCCAUAAACAUAAAAUCAAACACAGCACAAUCAAUAAUCAUCAUCUAAAGUAAUCAAAGCCCUUACACACUUCAUGCAACUAAAUAAAAUUAAAGAAUAGUUACUAACCUAAUCAUGGAGAUAGUAACAAAAUAAGAAAAUUAAGAAGUUAUAAUUAGCCUAAGAAUCAUUCUCAAACAAUGUAACCCUUGGAAACUCAUCAUCAGUUCAAAAUUUCCAUCUGAAUCAGAGUAAAAAAGAAGAAAUCAUCACAGCCAUGACAAGAAUGCAUUAAAAAAUAUGAUUCCUAAACUGCAUCAUUGCGUAGCAAUAAUAUUUAACAACGCCUGCAAGUGUCAACUCUUCAUAUAGAAAUUCAUUGCUUACU
Molecule: long non-coding RNA, 887 nt
Filed under: Ricinus communis (castor bean)
Lineage: Eukaryota; Viridiplantae; Streptophyta; Magnoliopsida; Malpighiales; Euphorbiaceae
Description: long non-coding RNA (RCOM_LNC003776)
Source: RNAcentral